GACGAACGCUGGCGGCGUGCUUAACACAUGCAAGUCGAACGGAAAGGCCCUGCUUUUGUGGGGUGCUCGAGUGGCGAACGGGUGAGUAACACGUGAGUAACCUGCCCUUUACUUUGGGAUAACUUCAGGAAACUGGUGCUAAUACCGGAUAGGAUCUCCUGCUGCAUGGUGGGGGUUGGAAAGUUUCGGCGGUUGGGGAUUGACUCGCGGCUUAUCAGCUUGUUGGUGGGGUAGUGGCUUACCAAGGCUUUGACGGGUAGCCGGCCUGAGAGGGUGACCGGCGACAUUGGGACUGAGAUACGGCCCAGACUCGUACGGGAGGCAGCAGUGGGGAAUAUUGCACAAUGGGCGGAAGCAUGAUGAAGAAAGGCAGCGUGCGGGAUGACGGCCUGCGGGUUGUAAACCGCUUUCGACUGUGACGAAGAGUGAGUGACGGUAAUGGGUAAAGAAGCACCGGCUAACUACGUG
RNAcentral lists this ribosomal RNA (468 nucleotides) under uncultured bacterium. RNAcentral describes it as "partial 16S ribosomal RNA". It matches the Rfam family "Bacterial small subunit ribosomal RNA", at positions 28 to 507 of the family's 1533-position model. The record is from RNAcentral.